RNAcentral lists this ribosomal RNA (425 nucleotides) under uncultured bacterium. Its description in RNAcentral is "bacterial SSU rRNA". It matches the Rfam family "Bacterial small subunit ribosomal RNA", at positions 355 to 775 of the family's 1533-position model. The record is from RNAcentral.
UCGAGAAUCUUCGGCAAUGGGCGCAAGCCUGACCGAGCGACGCCGCGUGUGGGAUGAAGGCCUUCGGGUUGUAAACCACUGUCAGAGGGGAUGAAAUACAGGUGGGUACUCCCAUCUGCUUGACAUAGCCUCAGAGGAAGGACGGGCUAAGUUCGUGCCAGCAGCCGCGGUAAGACGAACCGUCCGAACGUUAUUCGGAAUUACUGGGCUUAAAGGGUGCGUAGGCGGCGCGGAAAGUUGGGUGUGAAAUCCCUCGGCUUAACCGAGGAACUGCGCCCAAAACUACCGUGCUUGAGGGAGAUAGAGGUGAGCGGAACUUAGGGUGGAGCGGUGAAAUGCGUUGAUAUCCUAAGGAACACCGGUGGCGAAAGCGGCUCACUGGAUCUCUUCUGACGCUGAGGCACGAAAGCUAGGGUAGCAAACGG